UUGGCCUAGCCUUGACCAGAGGCAGGAAGCUGGAACCUGGCCUAGCCUGGCCCUGAGGCAGAUGCAGUAUGACUGGCUGUCCAUCGCCAUGCCUUCCUCACCAUGAUGAGCCUUCAAACUGUGAGCCAAGAUCAGCUUUCCUUCCUAAAGCUGCUUUCUCUGGCCAGAGACACCACCGUGGCCUCUUGCACUCGGGUUUUGUCUCCUGAUCAUCAGCUAUUCUUCAUUUCUUCUCGACAUCCCUUCUCAUGCUUUAGAAACAUUGAUGCCAUGCAGUCUAAGCACACACGUGCUGGGAUCCAGCCAUGCAGCAGCCAUCCUUCCCCCUGGGUUAGAGGACCUUAUCCCAGGAAACACCAUUGCUGGAGCCUGUUCUCAAGUCAAAGUCUUCCUACACAGUCCCCUCUAGGAACCAGAAGACAACACUGCCCGAGCCCCUGUGUGAAGGAAAAGGCGUAUAAUGUCAUUACCCAGACUCUCCCCAAUUCAGUUGAAGGGCAUAGAUGAUUUGUGGACACGCUCUCGAGUGAUAGAGGAGGCUGACGCCUGGCUUGCUGAGGGGAAGAGAACAACUCAAUUUGGAAGAAGAGCUGAUUUCCCAGUAUAUGUGUCUGGUGUCUAUGGAGGCCGGAGGAGAGCACUGGAUCCCCUGCAACUGGAGUUACAGAUGAUUGUGAGCCACCACGUGGGUGCUUGGAAUCAGAUCCCAGCCCUCUGCAAGAGCAGCAGGUAAGUGCUCUUAACCACGGAACCAUUCGGUAUAUUGGAGUGGCUGGCUGAACCAAGUUUGGUGGGGCUGCUGGAAUGGGGCUUCUGUCCUAAAAACUCUGGUUACAAGGCUGUCCAGAAGAUCAUCCCUGCACC
This 864-nucleotide long non-coding RNA is filed under the name Rattus norvegicus (Norway rat). RNAcentral's name for it is "long non-coding RNA NONRATT024466". Lineage: Eukaryota; Metazoa; Chordata; Mammalia; Rodentia; Muridae. The record is from RNAcentral.